This 348-nucleotide unclassified non-coding RNA is filed under the name soil metagenome. RNAcentral describes it as "partial contains 5.8S ribosomal RNA, internal transcribed spacer 2, and large subunit ribosomal RNA". The stretch from base 1 to 120 matches the Rfam family "5.8S ribosomal RNA", at positions 35 to 154 of the family's 154-position model. The record is from RNAcentral.
GAUGAAGAACGUAGCGAAAUGCGAUAAGUAAUGUGAAUUGCAGAAUUCAGUGAAUCAUCGAGUCUUUGAACGCACAUUGCGCCCCCUGGUAUUCCGGGGGGCAUGCCUGUCCGAGCGUCAUUGCUGCCCUCAAGCACGGCUUGUGUGUUGGGCCCCCGUCCCCGGUUUCCCCCGGGGACGGGCCCGAAAGGCAGCGGCGGCACCGCGUCCGGUCCUCGAGCGUAUGGGGCUUUGUCACCCGCUCUGUAGGCCCGGCCGGCGCCAGCCGACAACCAACUUUAUUUCUAAGGUUGACCUCGGAUCAGGUAGGGAUACCCGCUGAACUUAAGCAUAUCAAUAAGCGGAGGA